Molecule: ribosomal RNA, 1565 nt
Filed under: Enterococcus durans
Lineage: Bacteria; Bacillati; Bacillota; Bacilli; Lactobacillales; Enterococcaceae
Description: bacterial SSU rRNA
Rfam family: Bacterial small subunit ribosomal RNA
Source: RNAcentral
UAUGAGAGUUUGAUCCUGGCUCAGGACGAACGCUGGCGGCGUGCCUAAUACAUGCAAGUCGUACGCUUCUUUUUCCACCGGAGCUUGCUCCACCGGAAAAAGAAGAGUGGCGAACGGGUGAGUAACACGUGGGUAACCUGCCCAUCAGAAGGGGAUAACACUUGGAAACAGGUGCUAAUACCGUAUAACAAUCGAAACCGCAUGGUUUUGAUUUGAAAGGCGCUUUCGGGUGUCGCUGAUGGAUGGACCCGCGGUGCAUUAGCUAGUUGGUGAGGUAACGGCUCACCAAGGCCACGAUGCAUAGCCGACCUGAGAGGGUGAUCGGCCACAUUGGGACUGAGACACGGCCCAAACUCCUACGGGAGGCAGCAGUAGGGAAUCUUCGGCAAUGGACGAAAGUCUGACCGAGCAACGCCGCGUGAGUGAAGAAGGUUUUCGGAUCGUAAAACUCUGUUGUUAGAGAAGAACAAGGAUGAGAGUAACUGUUCAUCCCUUGACGGUAUCUAACCAGAAAGCCACGGCUAACUACGUGCCAGCAGCCGCGGUAAUACGUAGGUGGCAAGCGUUGUCCGGAUUUAUUGGGCGUAAAGCGAGCGCAGGCGGUUUCUUAAGUCUGAUGUGAAAGCCCCCGGCUCAACCGGGGAGGGUCAUUGGAAACUGGGAGACUUGAGUGCAGAAGAGGAGAGUGGAAUUCCAUGUGUAGCGGUGAAAUGCGUAGAUAUAUGGAGGAACACCAGUGGCGAAGGCGGCUCUCUGGUCUGUAACUGACGCUGAGGCUCGAAAGCGUGGGGAGCAAACAGGAUUAGAUACCCUGGUAGUCCACGCCGUAAACGAUGAGUGCUAAGUGUUGGAGGGUUUCCGCCCUUCAGUGCUGCAGCUAACGCAUUAAGCACUCCGCCUGGGGAGUACGACCGCAAGGUUGAAACUCAAAGGAAUUGACGGGGGCCCGCACAAGCGGUGGAGCAUGUGGUUUAAUUCGAAGCAACGCGAAGAACCUUACCAGGUCUUGACAUCCUUUGACCACUCUAGAGAUAGAGCUUCCCCUUCGGGGGCAAAGUGACAGGUGGUGCAUGGUUGUCGUCAGCUCGUGUCGUGAGAUGUUGGGUUAAGUCCCGCAACGAGCGCAACCCUUAUUGUUAGUUGCCAUCAUUCAGUUGAGCACUCUAGCAAGACUGCCGGUGACAAACCGGAGGAAGGUGGGGAUGACGUCAAAUCAUCAUGCCCCUUAUGACCUGGGCUACACACGUGCUACAAUGGGAAGUACAACGAGUCGCGAAGUCGCGAGGCUAAGCUAAUCUCUUAAAGCUUCUCUCAGUUCGGAUUGUAGGCUGCAACUCGCCUACAUGAAGCCGGAAUCGCUAGUAAUCGCGGAUCAGCACGCCGCGGUGAAUACGUUCCCGGGCCUUGUACACACCGCCCGUCACACCACGAGAGUUUGUAACACCCGAAGUCGGUGAGGUAACCUUUUGGAGCCAGCCGCCUAAGGUGGGAUAGAUGAUUGGGGUGAAGUCGUAACAAGGUAGCCGUAUCGGAAGGUGCGGCUGGAUCACCUCCUUUCUAAGGAA